UUUUUUUUUUUUUUUUUGGUUGCCAGGAGCCAUGUGAGUCAGAGGUGCUCCCUGCCCCAGCCCCAAGUGCAGCUUCCCAGCCAGUGGAGAGCUGUGCCAGCUCUCUUCCUACCGGUGAGCUGGCCCAGUGGAGUGGCUGCUUGUGGUGGGAGGCCUUCUGAUUGACACAUUCAGGCUGCCUGGGAGGAAAUGUGCUGGAUGCUUUCAGUCCAAGUGCGUGGCAAAUCUUCUGCUCCAUCAAAAGGAGAAGGCUAGUAUGUAUAACUGUGUAUUUAUUUUAUUUCAAGCUUUGAACUUAAAUCUCUCUCAGUACCCAGCUUACAUCCUUCCUGGCUAUUUAGCUGUCAAUAUUCCUAUUAUUCUUACUUCUGUACUAUAGAAAAAUGUCUGGAUUAAAUAUGACAUAGUGGCUUUACUCAUUGGGUAUAUUGCAGGUUGUAAGUUUAUCAGGUACCUAAAAUGAUGCAAGAGAAUAAAGAUAACUCCUCUGUGUAUCACUGAAUUAGAAUGAAGAGUUUAAAAUUAUUAAAUAACCUCUUCCUGUUUUUUUAGGUGGUGUUUUUUGUACCUACAAAGUGGGAAUAACCUUUCAUUGGACAGUAGGUUGAAAUGAAGCUAGGAAGCUGUGGUAGUUAAGAAAUAGCUCCUAGGGAUAGUUACAUAGUGAUUUGUACUAUUACAAUUUCCUGGCAACAGUAUCCAACACGUUCAGACAAGUUUUUUGUUAAUUCAGCCAUUUUUAGCAGCAUUGCACAGGUGCAAUUUGUGCUAUAAUUUGUAAGGUUUUACUCUUCAAAAAGACUCAACUUGUAUUAAAAACAAAAACAACUGUUUUUUCCUAUUUUUGUUCUGUAUGUGUCUACUGGGUGUCAUUUAAAUUUUCAUAGAGUCUCUGGAAAAGGGAAGGAUUGAAGUUCUUAUGUUCACUGCUCUGUCAGGUAAAAAGCAAUGGAUUCCUGCAGGGUAGCUUGUAGGGUCUUGGUGGUGUUUUGUACCUUAUUCUUUAAAAGUACUUGGAGGCUUUCAUGACUUUUCAGAGACUGCAGUGUGAACUCUUGUGAUUUGCAUUUGUUCCCUGCAAUUUGCAGCUGCAGGCACUGCACUAUCUUUGUUUAAAUAUAAUGCCAAAUGCCUUUAAAAUAGGUAUUUGAACUGUGGGUUAAGGAGACUACUUUGGUAAUAUUAAAGGCCUUUUUACUGCACACAUCAAAUAUCUAAAAUACAAUGCAAUCUUUCUGAAGCCAUUUCUGUAUUGUUAGUAACACAAAAAGAGAAGCGGGGUCUUUAGAAAUGCCUUUUGUCAUUUUCCUAGUAGUCUCUCCUUCUCAAAAUUUAUUUUAAAAUAUGACAAACUUGACACAUCAGAAAUGAGCAAUAAGAGUCAAAGUGCUGUUCUGUUAGCAGGUUAGUUGUACUUGAAGUUUUGCUACUAACUUAAGUAAAGUUAUGUUGAUAGCACACCAGCUGCUUAUCAGUCUUACUUGACGUGUGGACUACUGACCAAAAAUUGUAUGCCUGGCAGGUUUUACCAAAAUACUGUGAAGCAAGGAAAUCCAACCCAAAAGGUUUUGUUAAACACAGAUUUCACUAUGGUAAAAUAGAGUUUUAUGCUGGGGAAAAAAAAUUAUAUGUAGUAUUUGACUUUGAUUUUAAACAUGAUUCUGUUUGCAUACAUUAUGAAAGGAAGAAACUGGCCAUUGUGCAAGUUAAUGGAAUCCUGUAUUCUGUAUAUCCCAAAUAAUUAGUUAUUAAGCAAUAUUUUGUAUAUUUAGGUACUGUCUCCAAAGAUUUAUUAAAUUAGUUUAUCAUAUUAAAUUUAAUCUUUUAUUUU
This 1831-nucleotide long non-coding RNA is filed under the name Taeniopygia guttata (zebra finch). Its description in RNAcentral is "lncRNA (ENSTGUG00000024948.1)". The record is from RNAcentral. Lineage: Eukaryota; Metazoa; Chordata; Aves; Passeriformes; Estrildidae.